Molecule: transfer RNA, 60 nt
Filed under: Goniopora planulata
Lineage: Eukaryota; Metazoa; Cnidaria; Anthozoa; Scleractinia; Poritidae
Description: tRNA-Gln
Source: RNAcentral
AUCUUUUUUUUUCUGAGAAAGAGGAGUUUUGGGGUCCUUAGAGACUGCAUGCAGGAGAUU